AUAAUACUCCAUAGGUCACGAGAUCUGGAAAGACUUGUGGCUCAAAGUUCCGGCGCUUUAGGAUUGGUCUGCGGCCUAUCAGGUAGUAGUGGGUGUAACGGACCCACUAGCCGAUGACGGGUAUGGGCCUUGAGAGAGGGAGCCCAGAGAUGGAUUCUGAGACACGAAUCCAGGCCCUACGGGGCGCAGCAGUCGCGAAAACUUCACAAUGGAGGCAACUCCGAUGAGGGAAUUCCUAGUGCCAAUGCAUUUUGUGUUGGCUUUUCUUCAGCGUAGAUAACUGUUGGAAUAAGGGCUGGGUAAGACGGGUGCCAGCCGCCGCGGUAAUACCCGCAGCCCAAGUGGUGGUCGAUAUUAUUGAGUCUAAAACGUUCGUAGCCGGUUCAAUAAAUCUCUGGGUAAAUCGGAGGGCUUAACCUUCCGAAUUCCGGAGAGACUGUUGAACUUGGGACCGGGAGAGGCAAGAGGUACUUCUGGGGUAGGGGUAAAAUCCUGUAAUCCUAGAAGGACCACCGGUGGCGAAGGCGUCUUGCUAGAACGGAUCCGACGGUGAGGGACGAAGCCCUGGGUCGCAAACGGGAUUAGAUACCCCGGUAGUCCAGGGUGUAAACGCUGCAGACUUGGUGU
This 627-nucleotide ribosomal RNA is filed under the name uncultured archaeon. Its description in RNAcentral is "bacterial SSU rRNA". It matches the Rfam family "Archaeal small subunit ribosomal RNA", at positions 146 to 774 of the family's 1478-position model. The record is from RNAcentral.